CUCUCUUCUUCCCGUGCUUUUCCCUCCUCUCUCCUCCUGGCCCCUUUUCUCCGGUAGCCUCUGCCUACUGCCUCCCGUCUCAGCCUCGGGAACGUCAGGGCAGCCGAAGGUGCAGGGCCUGGCCCCGGAGCCCGCCCGUCGGCCAAGGAUGGGAGCUACAGAAGCCUCAUUAGCAUCUCAAUUAAAGACCAGCCACAGACUCCUGGGGAACCCACAACCAGAAGCGGACAUCACUCAUCCCCACACAGAGCCAGUCCACGGAUUCAUCAGCUCUUGGGGUACUGUCUCCCUGCCUCUGUGUCUCUGAAUUGUCUCCACCUUUCCACAUGCCCAGACACCUCUAGAACACCAUUCUCACUUGAAUUCAAUCUUUAAACUGGCGACCUGUAAGCAGGGUGCUCAGCUCCCUAACUGUUUGAUCUCUGAGGUUCUGAGAAACUCCUCCCUGACUUUUCUGUUUGCUGGCUGGGCCUGAAACCCAAGUACUGGCUUAAGGCAGCAUGACAAAUAGUUUUCAU
Long non-coding RNA from Nannospalax galili (Upper Galilee mountains blind mole rat), 518 nucleotides. RefSeq lists it as uncharacterized. The transcript is spliced from 3 exons. The record is from RefSeq and is a predicted model, not a curated record. NCBI's taxonomy places the organism in Eukaryota, Metazoa, Chordata, Mammalia, Rodentia, Spalacidae.